AGGAUGAACGCUGGCGGCGUGCCUAACACAUGCAAGUCGAACGUCCUGUCUCGCAAGAGGCAGGGAGUGGCGGACGGGUGAGUACCACGUGGGUCAUCUACCGUGAGGUGAGGAAUACCGGCGAGAAAUCGCCGACAAGACCGCAUAGGCUCGAUGCAAGUCGAGCAAAGCUCUUUCGAGAGAGGGAGCGCCACACGAGGAGCCUGCGCCCGAUUAGCUAGCUGGUGGAGUAACGGUUCACCAGGGCGACGAUCGGUAGCUGGUCUGAGAGGACGAUCAGCCACACUGGGAUUGAGAACGGCCCAGACUCCUACGGGGGGCAGCAGUGAGGAAUUUUCGUCAAUGGGGGCAACCCUGAACGAGCAACGCCGCGUGCAGGAGAAGGUUUUCGGAUCGUAAACUGCUUUUCUCGGGGAAGAGAACGGACGGUACCCGAGGAAUCAGCCCCGGCUAACUACGCGCCAGCAGCCGCGGU
This 475-nucleotide ribosomal RNA is filed under the name uncultured bacterium. Its description in RNAcentral is "SSU rRNA". It matches the Rfam family "Bacterial small subunit ribosomal RNA", at positions 26 to 521 of the family's 1533-position model. The record is from RNAcentral.